AAUGCCCAGCAGAUUCAAACCUGUAGUCACUGAUUACCAAAUGACAAUGUAACUUCAAAGUGAUAAUCUCCUCGCAGUCUCAAGCUAGGUGUAUAAAUGACAAAAUAAUUGACCCAUCAAGAAGUGAAGAGAAUACAGUUUCAAUCCUUAUGGUCCAUUUAACUGACAAUGAAAUGAAUCACGGAGCAGAGUUACAGACCAUAACGACCGAAUAGUGCUGUGAACUUGACUCUAAUUCUAAUUUCUAGUUUAUAAACAACUUAACUAGACUAUAUUUAUUGGAUCAUUUAUCAGCUUCCUUGUUGCUGACUGAGAGGAUAACGUUGAAUAUGUACUUUAAUCCGUACUUGCAUCACGAUAUGGCAGUGAUAUUAUGUUGGAUACUCGUAACUUUUUAGUGUUGCUUAUCUUAUCUGCUCCUUCUAAAAUAUUCCGAAACAACAGUUACUUUCGAAAAAUGCUUUCUGAUAUCUAGAUCCGCUUUGACAAUCUGGCACCACUAUUGCACUUAAAACUAUCAGGAUGGACCCUUCAUAAUAAUAAUGGAGGUUAAAGGAUGAUUUUCCACAAUUUUGAAGGCAUUCACGACCCGAUUGGACAACUGAGUUAGAUAAUUCUGACAUUCUAGCCGUAUUCUAGACGGUUUUUUACCUAACGUUUUGUCCACAACAGUGAUGGGCAUUUUCGAAGUUUUUUUUGGUUGUAGAUCGUAACUUGACUCUGGAUUUCUCUGAUAUCCGACUAGACCACGUAUAGAAAGCUCAAUUAUCCAACUCUGUGGGACUUUCUAUCUAUAGUUUUUACAUAAAGAACUCUAUCGAUUUUUUAGUGAUAUUGAUUCAUUCACAUGACAUCAAAUAAUAAAAUUUAUAUCAUAACGGAAACUGAAUACUUUAUGCCUCACCAUAUCUGAAUUCAAAUAAAUAUCGCUGUUUAAUAUUCAUCUUUCAAUCUCGAAAAUUAUCAGAAUUUCUCUCAUUUUAUUUUAAUAUAAUACUACUCAAGACCUGAUUUGAGAUUUGACAAGACCAUAUUUUGUUGUAUAAUAAAAUAUAUUGAAGGUGACGAUUUAUCCUAAGUGAAUGAUUAAUACUUAAUAUUUUGAAAUCUAUGUCUUGUAUUAUAUACAGGUCGUUUCUAAAUUGAAGUUACAAACGGAAAUGAAAGAUUCCUUGGAUAAUUUUAAGAAUCAAAAGUCCUAUAAACAUGGGCCAGAAAAAGCUUUGUUUUUGAGUUCCUUGUCCGAGUUCAUUGAAUCUUUAACAGUCAUUGUUACAUAUAUGGAAAAUAAGCACGAAAACUAAUAAUUAAUAUAUUCGAUUCAUCACAGCACAGCUUACUGAUUGGAUUUUUAUUAUAAUUUGGAGUAUUUCGAGAUUAUGUUUGAAAUUUUUUUCUCGAAAUCGGUUGCAGAUACGACAAAACUAUAGAAAACAACAAAUUUAGGAUUUGUCACAGUUUAUUUUUACAUUUCCUUAAACUCAGAGUGGUCCACAAAAAAAAAUGGAGGAAAAUAGCAUGCACAGAUUGCGCUGUUCCAAAAAAAAUGAACAUUUGGAAUCGAAAUUGGUAUAUUACAUAAUGUAAACUCUAAAUUCGAAUAACUAUACCAAAUAUCAGUUAAAUGUUUUGUGUUUAUGCUAUGAGAAAAAAACUUGAAAAAAAACAAAUUUAACUCCCUGUAUCUCGUAAACAAAGCAUCUGCAGGACUAGGAUAUUUUUUUGCUAGAAUUACUCGAGAAUAUCAUUUACUUUUGUACCUCCAAUUUAGAAAUUUAAAUUUUUGUUAUUGCUCAGAAAAGUUGCAUUUUGGUGAAUGCGCCAGGCACUGAAUUUGACUUGAUGGUGAAAUAGAUAUCGGACGUAUAAGUUGAAAGAAUACAUAAUUCGGUUUGAUAAUUGAGAAAGAUCUGUUCUUUUUUUACAUAUUAUUCAACAGUUUGAUCUAACGUUAAUUUGGUUUGAGUCACAUAUAUUUAUUUACACAAUAAAAGGAUAUUAUAAUAUAUAAUUAUAAUUUGUUUCAUAAAUUGGGCAUCUUCUAUUUCCUCAUCAGAUUGAAGAAGUGAAUUAUGAAUAUAUUCAAAAACAGUUUUUCUGAAAAUUUUCUUCUGGAAAUUACCUAGUUACACUUUUUCUGAAUAAAAUUCAAAAUAGAAGGUA
Harmonia axyridis is the source of this 2163-nucleotide long non-coding RNA. RefSeq lists it as uncharacterized. The record is from RefSeq and is a predicted model, not a curated record. The transcript is spliced from 3 exons. NCBI's taxonomy places the organism in Eukaryota, Metazoa, Arthropoda, Insecta, Coleoptera, Coccinellidae.